This 231-nucleotide ribosomal RNA is filed under the name Salmonella enterica subsp. enterica serovar Cerro. RNAcentral describes it as "partial 23S ribosomal RNA". It matches the Rfam family "Bacterial large subunit ribosomal RNA", at positions 12 to 242 of the family's 2925-position model. The record is from RNAcentral. Lineage: Bacteria; Pseudomonadati; Pseudomonadota; Gammaproteobacteria; Enterobacterales; Enterobacteriaceae.
CUAAGCGUACACGGUGGAUGCCCUGGCAGUCAGAGGCGAUGAAGGACGUGCUAAUCUGCGAUAAGCGCCGGUAAGGUGAUAUGAACCGUUAUAACCGGCGAUUUCCGAAUGGGGAAACCCAGUGUGACUCGUCACACUAUCAUUAACUGAAUCCAUAGGUUAAUGAGGCGAACCGGGGGAAAUGAAACAUCUAAGUACCCCGAGGAAAAGAAAUCAACCGAGAUUCCCCCA